RNAcentral lists this long non-coding RNA (4229 nucleotides) under Populus trichocarpa (black cottonwood). RNAcentral's name for it is "long non-coding RNA (PTRI_LNC004661)". Lineage: Eukaryota; Viridiplantae; Streptophyta; Magnoliopsida; Malpighiales; Salicaceae. The record is from RNAcentral.
UUUGCUUGAAUCCCUGACACAUCAUGCACAGAGCCGUAACUCAACUUCCCUUUGAUUACUUUAUCAUAGUACACAACAUCAUCAAAGUGAACAUAACACGGGGUCUUAAGUUUGACUUCAAAAGACCCAUCAGAUGAUGGUAGCGUGUAGGAUUCCACGUUGUCUGGGAGUAAGCCACGAGGCAGGCCAUAUUGAGGAAGAAGAUCAUGGAUAUCUGAGGUGGUUAGGGAGAGAGAAAGACGGGUUUUUGAUAAGAGGAGUAGAGAGAGAAGGUAGAGAGAGAGUACUGCGACGAUGUUGAAGGAAGCCAUUGUCGAUGCAAAGAGAGAAGUGAAGGUGCUAAUGUAAAAGGGUUGUGAAGGGUAGAAUAAGAAGGGAAACUUGUGUUGCACGGCUUAGCGGAAUUAAAUGUUGAAGUGACUAGACCGUUGGAUUUUGGACGGUGACGAUGACAAAAAAAAAAUCUGAAGAAUUCUUAACAGAAAUGAAAAAUUUUUAUCCUUUUAUUUAUUUUAAAUCAUAAUUUAGUCCUUCGACAGUAUUUGAUUUUGAAGCUAGAGAGAGUAAAUUAUUUACUUUUAGUUGUCAAGAACAUGUAAGAGGGCUGUGAAAGGUAGAAUUGGAAGAGAGAUUUGUGUUGCAUUUGCAUGGUUUCGAGGGAUUAAAUGUUGUAGUGACAAUACCGACGUUGGAUUUUGGAGGGUGAUAAUUACACAGAUUUUUUGGUGAAGAAUUCUACACAAAGUUGAUUAUAAAUUAGUCUAUUUAUUCUCAAUAAGAAAAUAACUUAACCCUUUUAUCUUAUUAAAUUAUAAUUUAGUCCUUUGAUUAAAUUUGAUUUUAAACCUAAAGAGAUUAAAUUAUUAUUUUUUAGCUGUUAAAUGGCUUUAAUGAAUUAAACGCUGGUUAAUAAUAUAUUUUCAACUUCUCUAUGUCAAGGCCUUGGGUGAAUGUAAAAUCAUGAAACAGAGAGAGCCCUCUCUAAGAUUUAUAAUGGAUACAGGUCUAUCAAUUUCAGGCCCUGCUGAACACAACAACGGCUGCAGAGAUCCGCUGCAGACCCGGCAAAACAUGGGAUUUUUAAUUUAAAAAAUAGCACAGAAAAUAUAAAAAUUUGGCAUAAUAGUAUUGUUACAUAAAGUUUUAAUGAAAUGGAAUAAUUUUUAAAUACGUUAUAAGAUAGUUGUUAUAUUUUAAAAUAGUGACAUUAAAUAAAUAUUAAGUUUUUAAAAUGUAACAUGGUUGAACUCUAAUCUUCUACAUGACUGGUUAGAUCUAGUUGUUGACCAUUUCACACAAAAAUUAUAAUUUUAAGAAGUUUUGUCAAAAUUGUUUUUGUUCAACUUAUAAACUUAAAAAUAGACCUCAAUUAAAAUCUUAAAAAGUUAUUAUUCAUAUAAUAAUGGGUAAUUUUGAAUAGUUAUAUAUAAAUAUACCACAACUAAAUGAGAAUUUAUCUCAAACAGAUUACGCAAAUAUCCUAGUAGAUACAUUUAUGGAUCAAUGAGACAGAUCUAAGUUCAAAAAGAGAUCUGAUCGCGUUAGACUAGAAUAAUAGCUUAAAGAGAUCAUAAUUUUUUAUCUAACUAUUAGAUGAUACUCAAAUUUUUACAAGAAUUUUCAAAAACUAUUUUUCUUAUAAUAGUCACUAUUGUAUCGUUACGUAGACCGUAAAAUCUUUAGAUAUCAAAAAUCCCGUUAAUGCUGCCGGUUUUGACAGUUUUAAAAUUUUUUCUUAAAAGCAGUCGAUUGGUUUCACUAUAAACCGAUCGAACUGUUAAACUGUCCUAUUUCAUCAAAAAAAAAAAAAAAAAAAGCAAUUACUUCUAUGUCGUGUUUAUUGCACAAUUUAUCCGAAAAUAUGUUGCACUUUCUUGACAUAAAAGCAUAAAAGAGAAUUAGCAAGUUGCCUUCCAUGUUUGUCAGCCAGUCACUCAACUGGACAAUUCAAAACCAUCAAGCCACACGUAUUUCGCAUUCAAAUUAAAACCUAGCUCAAAGAAUCACAAGUUUGCCUUCCUCUCACUUGCCAAGAUUAAAUUUACCCUUACGUUUCAUACGAGGACAAUGCGAUUGAUGAGAAUUAUCCCAAUAGUUUGAACUACUAUUUCAUCCAUAGUUUCUGUAUUUAUGCAUAUCCAAAUCAUUGCUCGGCAUAAGGUGAGUCCCUGAGCAGAAAUGUUGAAGAGCAGCAUUUAUUUACAAUCCAUAUUACAUAAAUUGGCUUCAAUUUCUCAAAGAUGUAGAUUAAGCUGGAGAACUUCAAAGUUCAGAGUGAGCAGGCAACGCAAGAGAAGAUUUGGUCUGCUUCCACCUGCAACAAGAGCAUGAAACCUUCUUAAGUCCUUGAAAAACUUCACAGAAUGUGACUUCUAAUAUUAUAACUUUCGGCUAUUGCAUCCAUUGGAAGUCGGAACUGCAAAACUUCUAAAAGAAACCAAAAUCACAUCUCUCAUUGUUGAUUGUAUAGCAAUAUGAGUAAGUUUUUGGCCUCUGAUUUUCGACAUAAAUGACAUAUUAGAUCAAUAGAUGAUUGAAAUUCAAUAAUUAUUGAUGAAAUUUGGAAAAACUGGCAUCGGUUGAGGUGGUAUAAGAACAAUCUUAGCAAACCGAGAUCAGAUUCUAUCUGGAUCAUCAUGCAGCUUGUCAACACAAACCAUAAACUAACAAACCGAGAUCAGACUUUCUUCGCUAGAAAAACAUUACAAUUCUCCUUCCAGGAUGCUCAACUUCUGGAUUCAUCACAAUUCUCGAAAUUAAACACAGCUUUGAUGGUUGAGAAUGUUUUGGAAAAGAGGAAGCAACACCCCUUCCUGCUUUCAAGUGUCAACCACCAAUAGAAAUUACAAUUGCACAUUGAAAGAUUUGCUGAUUGACAUUGUUUUCUAAAAAGUUUGCUCAAUGAAACCUCCAAACCUUGUAUAGGUUGUUAAUGAUCCUAAUACACCAAGCUAAAAGAACCAUUUCCCCUCCCUCCCUUAUAACAAGUAUCAAGCUUCUUUGUUUCCUCCAGUUUCAUGCUAAUUUCUGUUCGCAACUUGGUGCGAGUCGCACAUUACUGCAAGUAUAGAAGGGGUCGAUUCUUCUAAAAACCAUUUCUUGCAAUCUCACCAAAAACUCUUAACAAGGCUGAUAACAAGGUACAAUCAAUGUCAGUCAAAUGCUUGAAACUCUUAACCACCUAUUGGUCCCAAAACCAAACCACACCUCCUACUACUACAAAGCUUCUACAAUUUACUUUCAGAGCAAGUGACUGCAGAUAUAAGGUAGAAUACGUGACCAUCACUUUUUUUUUUAUUGGAAACAAGAAGGAAUCCACGCAUGACUCUGUAAGAAAUUCAUUGAUGAUGCCUGAAUCUCUCUAGCUAAAUUAUUAACUCCUAAAUCGAAAUUCGACAACUUUAACUAAUAGGUUCAUAAAAUUAUAUCCAAUCUAUAAGUCCCAAAAUCUAAUCAGACCAACGACAAGAAAGCUUCUAAAUUUCCUUUUAGAAUAAGAGAUCAUCAAAUUGUCUGCUGAAACCUAAAAGGAACCCACGGCUCCAUAUGGAUUUCAUGAUCAUCCCUAAAUUAUCUGGGAACCCCCUAAUCACCACUGCUAUAUCUAACCUCUAAACAAAAAUUCCUCAGCUUUAACUUAAAAUUCCCAUCAAUUCUCAAUAAACUCAAGCAUCACGUAACAAAACACAUAAAUCCCAUAAAUUUAAACAAUUCAGAGAAAUAAAAUCCUAAAGAUCACAACUUUUUACCUUCACAUCGACUCCAAAUAUGUCCUUAGCCCACCAACCUUCCUCUUACAAGCAGGAACAUCCUCGAACUGCUUAGCAGGCAACUCGCGGGAAAUCGGGCCAACAAAGAAACUAAUCAUACUAUCAUCAGCCUUACUAACUUCAAUCCCAGUAACUGGCAACCAAACAAAGAGCUUCUUUGCUUGAAUCCCUGACACAUCAUGCACAGAGCCGUAACUCAACUUCCCUUUGAUUACUUUAUCAUAGUACACAACAUCAUCAAAGUGAACAUAACACGGGGUCUUAAGUUUGACUUCAAAAGACCCAUCAGAUGAUGGUAGAGUGAAGGAUUCCACAUUGUCGGGGAGCAAGCCACGUGGCAGGCCAUAUUGAGGAAGAAGAUCAUGGAUAUCUGAGGUGGUUAGGGAGAGAGAAAGACGGGUUUUUGAUAAGAGGAGUAGAGAGAGAAGGUAGAGAGAGAGAGUGAGGAUGUUGAAGGAA